This 1230-nucleotide long non-coding RNA is filed under the name Marmota monax (woodchuck). Lineage: Eukaryota; Metazoa; Chordata; Mammalia; Rodentia; Sciuridae. The record is from RNAcentral.
GAACAAUUGAUUCCCAAAGAUCUGAGAGAGGAAGCCAGGUGUGGUGGUACAUACCUGUAAUCCCAGAGAUUUGAGAAGCUGAAACGGGAGGAUGACAAGUUCAAGGCCAGCCUGGGCAACUUAUCAAAGCCCUGUUUCAAAAAAUAAAAAGGGCUGGGGUGGAACUCAGUGGUGGAGGGCUCCUGGGUUCAAUACUUUUUACUGCAAAACAAAACAAAACUAAAUACAACUGGGGUGAGAGGGACAUAGAGAAAAGAGAUGUGACACAUGACACGAGGGUCCCUGUUUUGGGUUGAUACUUGGGAACAGGAGUUUGGACACAGUGAGUUUGUGUGGGGUAAGGAUCUUCCACUAAAUCUCUGGAAAGGAGGAUCCUAAAGAUAGAAAUCAUUGCCUUCCUCCUUCCUUUCUUUAGUCUCCUUUGUUUGAAAAAUAUAUGUGUGUCUACACAAUUUUAAUAGAUUUUAUUAAGUAGAUGCACAGCAAUGUGAAAUGUACUCACUGUCACUGAAAUGUGAGAUUAAAAAUAGUACCAUGGUAAAUCUUAUGUCAUGACUGUUUUGCCACAGUAUAAAAAAAAUCAAACAAAACAGAAACAACUGAGAAAAAUCUGAGAAACCGCCACAGUUUCCAUAUAUGCCUCACCAGGUUCCCUAUAUAUGGGGCCAGUGUAACGAAGAAUAAUAAAAAUGAAUCCCCAUGCACAGAACUCAACUUAACCCAGAUAAUGUUUAUCAUCCUAGAAACCCACAUGCUCCCUCCAAUGUCUCUUUCCCCUCACCCCUUGCAGAUAACCACUAUCCCAAAUGCUGUGUCAUUUUCUUGCCUUUCUUUAGAGUUUUAUCGCAUAGGCUUAUAUCCCAGAUGUCAGAAUGUUAUUCAGUCUGGAGAGUUUGGGUGCUUCUAUUGAAGGAAAUCACAUUGCAUAUAUCAGGUCAUAAUUUGCUUUUUUUCCCACCAACAUUGUGUUUGUGGGAUUCCUUCAUGCAACUGUAGUUCUUUCACUUUUAUGGCUGCAGACUAAGGUCUGGAUACAACAUACAUUUUCUAAUCCAGUCUCAUGUCUAUGGGUGUUUGAGCUGUUUGUGGUUUUUAUUUUUAUGAGCUGUCUGAGCCUAUGUUGUAGGAGAGCUUCUCUAGGUACAUUAUGGAGAGUAGAAUUAGUGCCUCAUAGAGUGUGUGUACUUGAUAAUGCCCACUGUUUUCCAAAGGUGUGGGGCAUCUGCACUC